This is a long non-coding RNA of Mustela erminea (ermine), 732 nucleotides long. RefSeq lists it as uncharacterized. The record is from RefSeq and is a predicted model, not a curated record. Lineage: Eukaryota; Metazoa; Chordata; Mammalia; Carnivora; Mustelidae. The transcript has 4 exons.
GUCCAACUUAUUCCCAACUAAGAGAAGUUCUGCAUCUUCUGAAGCAUACUGUGGAAUUUUAGAAGAAGCUGCAUUUCAAAGGGCAGAAAUCAAUUUCUGUACACGAAAUGUCCUCACUUCUUUCAAGCAGAGAAUGAAAAGCAAGCCUUAAUGUCGACAUUAAGAAAGCUGGCUAAAACCAAAGCCCCCCACAGGGAAGACUGAGGCGUGCUGGACAGUUGUAUUCUUCAGUAGAGUCAAGGAGAAGCAGAGCAGUUACGCCGGGGAAUGCAUUUACUUCCCAGAGAAAUAAUGGUUUUCGGAGUGUCCUGUGCCUUUCCUAGAACUGUCCCAGCAUGCUUUUCCCCACAGGUGGGAGUCACAGGGAUACAGAUUUUAUAAGGUGUCCUUCAAUCCCAGACAUGAUAUUUCUACUAAGGGAGAGGAUUUCCAGCGUCUUCAUGGAGUAGAGAGUGGGAAAAUAAAUUAAGAAAGGAGUCAAAGUCACACAGAGAGAGGUCAAUUUAACAUUGGAAAACAAGUUGCCAGCACGUGGGGCCAGUCUUCUGCCCAAAUACCACCUACCAGAGGAGAGUACAACCUAAGUCCCCAGAGGAAAGCACCACGUAAAGAAAAAAAGGAUUCAAUGACGAUUCAACGCAAGAGAAACCAAGUGCUACGACUGUAAAAUACCCAGCAGAAGGUACUAGUAUUAAAAUGGAAAAAUGAUGGUAUGACAUUAAAAAUGCUCAC